GAGGCCCCACUCUGGCUCGGAGCCUGGCCCGGGUCGGGUCUCUCCAGUCCCAGCUUCUCCCUCCCGACUGGAAAGUCCCGCCCAGCAGUGCAGCAGCAUGUGCUCCCAGAGUGGGAGUCAGCUGGCUGGACUUCAGGGCAGCCAGGACAUUUGCCUGCGGUGGACGUUUUCCCGGAGGUUUCUUGGGAGUUGCCGAAGGUUGUUUCCCACUGGCUUCAGACGAGGCUUCCUGGGGCACACCUGGCCUCGGCCCAAUGGACAGCUGGCUCCACACACCCUCCUCUGUCUAUCCCAAGAGGGCAUUGCAGACUUCUGGGUACAAACCCCUGCUCUACCACUUAGCAUCUUCUUAACAUCAGGCAAAUCAUUGAAUUGUA
This is a long non-coding RNA of Cebus imitator (Panamanian white-faced capuchin), 377 nucleotides long. RefSeq lists it as uncharacterized. The record is from RefSeq and is a predicted model, not a curated record. The transcript is spliced from 2 exons. NCBI's taxonomy places the organism in Eukaryota, Metazoa, Chordata, Mammalia, Primates, Cebidae.